UACGAAGGGAGCUAGCGUUGUUCGGAAUCACUGGGCGUAAAGCGCACGUAGGCGGAUGUGUCAGUCAGCGGUGAAAUCCCGGAGCUCAACUUCGGAACUGCCCUUGAUACAGCACGUCUUGAGUCCGGAAGAGGUGGGUGGAAUUCCUAGUGUAGAGGUGAAAUUCGUAGAUAUUAGGAAGAACACCGGUGGCGAAGGCGGCCCACUGGUCCGGUACUGACGCUUAGGUGCGAAAGCGUGGGGAGCAAACAGG
This 253-nucleotide ribosomal RNA is filed under the name uncultured bacterium. RNAcentral's name for it is "partial 16S ribosomal RNA". It matches the Rfam family "Bacterial small subunit ribosomal RNA", at positions 524 to 776 of the family's 1533-position model. The record is from RNAcentral.